UCCCCCAAAGCUAUCCGAGCACCGACACGCCUGCAGCAGCACCCGACCGGGACCCGCCGGCGGUCGGUCGCGCCGUUAUCCCCGCCCAUCCCUUCCCCAACUGCCGUCCGAACCCCUGAAGCUCUGGAGCCCCGCGGCCUCCGGCCGCCAUCCCUGAAUUAUUAGGGGGCGUUCUGAGCCGCCGGAACCGUUCGGCCUGUGCAGGAGGGAAGGCCCAGUGCAAUUGUUCUUCUCAAGGUAGCACAGCAAUCCCUUCAAAAGAAAAGCAAAUUCCAACUCUGCCUAUCAGGCGCAUGCAAUAAUUUUUCUUCGCAUUAUUGCAGCUGCAAUCCUCAACCAAUGGUCUUUCUUUUUGCAUAUAAGGUUAGCAACCUUUAAUUGCCUCUAAAUUUCUGUCAUAUUUUGCUUUCCUGUUCUUGCUUUUCUAAGUUGCAGGAUCAGAAUGUUUUCUGCCUUAAAGUAACGCCGAACUACAUUGUACCAUCUGUCGGUGUGAGAUACCGGGUGCAAAUGCACCUUGAUGCCUCUGAUGGCGGCUUAAGUACCAAUUCUGUUCGUGUUUUAGUGGUGGUUGCAUGCGCUUAAAGGCACCUCCAAGUGUGUCACCUGUUCAUUUCGCUGUCAGACCUUAUUCUGCAUGCCCAAGCCUGCCUUUCCCUCUCUGACGUGUCACUGUUACAGAUACUCUGCACUCUGUUUGAUUAUGCCUGCAUGCCCCCGGCUGGUGCCUUGACUUGUUAGUAAUAGCUUGCACCUCCCUUUCCGGUGACGCCGACUUCCUACUGCCCCUUUGCACUCCCUUUCCAUCCCUUUCCAUGACGGUGACCCGCUACUGGAACACUAUCAGAUGCUGCUUCAAGGCACUUCUUGUGUGCCACAUUGCAACAUCAUUAGGUCAGCUCGCAUAUAAUUUUAUUGUGCACUUGCUGCUGUUUCCAUGUUCUUUUUUGCUUAUGUGUUGUUUCUCAAGUUUUAACACGUUAGGCUGUGUCUGCCCUGUUCCCCUGUUUUUUCUGGUCUAGAAGUUACUUACCCUAUAUGAGGACAGACUCCAAGACAAAAGUCUCAAGCUCCCGUGAUAACAAACUAGGGAAUUGGAGUUGUUGCAUCUCCAAACAAUUAGGGCCUGUUGGAUAGGUGGGGACUGUAACCGAUCCCUUCGGAUUGGUAAGGAGAAUGUACUAGUUUCCCUGCCAAUCGGAAGGGAUUUGGUCUAACUGCAGGGUAUCCAAACAAAGCUUUCGGCGUCAAGAGCUGCUGUACAAUAUCAUGGGACUGUUCAUUCCAUCUUGUCAAAGGUAAUAAGGUACUGUACAUUAUGGUUGUGUGGCUUGUUCUUGUUGGUUUGACUGUCUUAUUAGAGACAACCAACCUGAACAGCUUAAGGCUGCAUUUGGUUCAGCUUUCUGAAGCUGAACUAAAGUGGUUCAACUUUUCUGCAGCUGUUUUGAAAAAACUGCUUUUCUGUAGUUAAAUUUGAAAGGAGGUUAUACCCUGCUUUUGCAGCUUUUCCGAAUUUGUGAAAAUUACACACCUACUAUUGGUCACAUAUAUACCCUUUCAAUUCUUUUUUAUAUAUAAAAAAAUAAAGAUUUUCAUAUAUAGAAAAUAAAAUAAAAAAGAAUACAAAAAGUUAACUCCAAAUAUUUUCAUAUAUAUAAAAAUAAAGAUUUAAAAGAAAAAGGAUUUGGUCAUCACAAAGAAAUAUUGUAUACUGUCAAUUUGCAUAAAGAUAAUAUAUAAUUUUUUCACAGUCGACAACUCAUAGCAGUUUGAACCAAACGACUUUCAGCUUUUUCAUAGCAGGCAUCUCACAGCAGCUUUUUCACAGCAGACAUCUGACAACAGUUUUUUCCCAGCUCACAGCUGAACCAAACGCACCCUUAGUCUUAUCCUUCCAGACAUUGUCUAGCAGCCACUUUUUCUCUGUUGUCAUUUUAUCAUACUUGAUUUAACCUGAGAUCGUAUUUUUUUAGAUAUGUAGGGAGAAACAUUUUGUUCCUGUAACAUUGCUUAUUAGUAUGUGGUUAUCAUAAUCUUCUAAGGGGAUGCUUGUAAUAAUGUGGAACAAUGUCCGCAGAUUCGCUAACAUA
Long non-coding RNA from Panicum hallii, 2093 nucleotides. RefSeq lists it as uncharacterized. The record is from RefSeq and is a predicted model, not a curated record. NCBI's taxonomy places the organism in Eukaryota, Viridiplantae, Streptophyta, Magnoliopsida, Poales, Poaceae. The transcript has 3 exons.